GGAAGUAGUCGUAACAAGGUCCCCGUUGGUGAACCAGCGGAGGGAUCAUUACCGAGUUAUCCAACUCCCAACCCCUGUGAAUUAUACCUUUAAUUGUUGCUUCGGCGGGACUUCGCGCCCGCCGGGGACCCAAACCUUCUGAAUUUUAAUAAGUAUCUUCUGAGUGGUUAAAAAAAUGAAUCAAAACUUUCAACAACGGAUCUCUUGGUUCUGGCAUCGAUGAAGAACGCAGCGAAAUGCGAUAAGUAAUGUGAAUUGCAGAAUUCAGUGAAUCAUCGAAUCUGAACGCACAUUGCGCCCGUCAGUAUUCUGGCGGGCAUGCCUGUUCGAGCGUCAUUACGCCCCUCAAGUCCCCUGUGGACUUGGUGUUGGGGCGGCGAGGCUGGUUUUCCAGCACAGCCGUCCCUUAAAUUAAUUGGCGGUCUCGCCGUGGCCCUCCUCUGCGCAGUAGUAAAACACUCGCAACAGGAGCCCGGCGCGGUCCACUGCCGUAAAACCCCGGCUACUUUUUAUAGUUGACCUCGAAUCAGGUAGGACUACCCGCUGAACUUAAGCAUAUCAAUUUAAGCGGAGA
RNAcentral lists this ribosomal RNA (574 nucleotides) under Metarhizium anisopliae. RNAcentral's name for it is "partial 18S ribosomal RNA". The stretch from base 185 to 336 matches the Rfam family "5.8S ribosomal RNA". Lineage: Eukaryota; Fungi; Ascomycota; Sordariomycetes; Hypocreales; Clavicipitaceae. The record is from RNAcentral.